Molecule: ribosomal RNA, 306 nt
Filed under: Bacillus sp. PSu4_45
Lineage: Bacteria; Bacillati; Bacillota; Bacilli; Caryophanales; Bacillaceae
Description: bacterial SSU rRNA
Rfam family: Bacterial small subunit ribosomal RNA
Source: RNAcentral
UGGGUAACCUGCCCAUAAGACUGGGAUAACUCCGGGAAACCGGGGCUAAUACCGGAUAACAUUUUGAACUGCAUGGUUCGAAAUUGAAAGGCGGCUUCGGCUGUCACUUAUGGAUGGACCCGCGUCGCAUUAGCUAGUUGGUGAGGUAACGGCUCACCAAGGCAACGAUGCGUAGCCGACCUGAGAGGGUGAUCGGCCACACUGGGACUGAGACACGGCCCAGACUCCUACGGGAGGCAGCAGUAGGGAAUCUUCCGCAAUGGACGAAAGUCUGACGGAGCAACGCCGCGUGAGUGAUGAAGGCUU